CCUAGGGAGAGUAGCAGCAGUGCUGAACUUUCUCCAUUUAUAGACAAUAUGUCUUACCGUGGACUGAUGAACAGCAAGGCUUUUGGGGAUACUUUUAUAACCCUUUCCAGCUUUAUGCAAGUCAACAAUUCUUAAUCGUAGGUCUUCUGAGAGCUCUUUUGUGCGAGGCAUCAUUCACAUCAGGCAAUGCUUCUUGUGAAAAGCAAACCCAGAACUGGUGUGUGUUUUUUAUAGGGCAGGGCAGCUGUAACCUC
Molecule: long non-coding RNA, 254 nt
Filed under: Pelobates cultripes (western spadefoot toad)
Lineage: Eukaryota; Metazoa; Chordata; Amphibia; Anura; Pelobatidae
Source: RNAcentral